GACGAACGCUGGCGGCGUGCUUAACACAUGCAAGUCGAACGGAAAGGCCCUGCUUUUGUGGGGUGCUCGAGUGGCGAACGGGUGAGUAACACGUGAGUAACCUGCCCUUGACUUUGGGAUAACUUCAGGAAACUGGGGCUAAUACCGGAUAGGAGCUACUGCUGCAUGGGGGGGGUUGGAAAGUUUCGGCGGUUGGGGCUGGACUCGCGGCUUAUGAGCUUGUUGGUGAGGUAGUGGCUUACCAAGGCUUUGACGGGUAGCCGGCCUGAGAGGGUGACCGGCCACAUGGGGACUGAGAUACGGCCCAGACUCCUACGGGAGGCAGCAGUGGGGAAUAUUGCACAAUGGGCGGAAGCCUGAUGCAGCAACGCCGCGUGCGGGAUGACGGCCUUCGGGUUGUAAACCGCUUUCGCCGGUGACGAAGCGUGAGUGACGGUAAUGGGUAAAGAAGCCCCGGCUAACUACGUG
Molecule: ribosomal RNA, 468 nt
Filed under: uncultured bacterium
Lineage: Bacteria
Description: partial 16S ribosomal RNA
Rfam family: Bacterial small subunit ribosomal RNA
Source: RNAcentral